Molecule: ribosomal RNA, 460 nt
Filed under: uncultured bacterium
Lineage: Bacteria
Description: partial 16S ribosomal RNA
Rfam family: Bacterial small subunit ribosomal RNA
Source: RNAcentral
CCUACGGGUGGCUGCAGUGAGGAAUAUUGGUCAAUGGGCGAGAUCCUGAACCAGCCAAGUCGCGUGAGGGAUGACGGCCCUACGGGUUGUAAACUUCUUUUGUCGGAGAACAAAACCCGGUACGUGUCCCGCUUUGCGUGUAUCCGAAGAAAAAGCACCGGCUAAGUCCGUGCCAGCAGCCGCGGUAAUACGGAGGAUGCGGGCGUUAUCCGGAUUUAUUGGGUUUAAAGGGUGCGUAGGCGGUCGGUUAAGCGUGCUGUGAAAUGUCCGGGCUCAACCCCGGCCGUGCCGGGGGAACUGGCAGGCUUGAGUUCGCGGAAAGUACGCGGAAUUCGUGGUGUAGCGGUGAAAUGCAUAGAUAUCGCGAAGAACCCCGAUUGCGAAGGCAGCUUGCCGGAGCCGAACUGACGCUGAGGCACGAAAGCGUGGGGAUCGAACAGGAUUAGAUACCCGAGUAGUC